GGGUCAGUAGGUUGGUCGUGCCACCGGUACGUACUGGUCUCACUGAUUCCUCCUUCCUGAAGAACCGUAAUGCCAUUAAUUUGGUGUUGCGGGGAAACAGGACUGUUACUUUGAAAAAAUUAGAGUGCUUAAAGCAAGCUGACGCUUGAAUACAUUAGCAUGGAAUAAUGAAAUAGGACGAUCGAUCCUAUUUUGUUGGUUUCUAGGAUUGACGUA
Molecule: ribosomal RNA, 216 nt
Filed under: Glomeromycotina sp.
Lineage: Eukaryota; Fungi; Glomeromycota
Description: partial small subunit ribosomal RNA
Rfam family: Eukaryotic small subunit ribosomal RNA (bases 40-216)
Source: RNAcentral